RNAcentral lists this long non-coding RNA (302 nucleotides) under Fukomys damarensis (Damara mole-rat). RNAcentral's name for it is "lncRNA (ENSFDAG00000027408.1)". Lineage: Eukaryota; Metazoa; Chordata; Mammalia; Rodentia; Bathyergidae. The record is from RNAcentral.
GUUUGAUGUAGUAGAGCUAUUGAAUCCCAGGUCUGCAGUUACAACCGAGAUUUCACGAUGCCAGUGUUUGCACCCUGAUCUGCAUCCGGGUGAUCACCUACCUCCACAAAACGAUGCCCCAGAGGGACCCUGUCUGGUAAGCUUUGAAAUGCUCGCUAAGGAGGAUAUCCAUGAGUGAGUAGUCGCUAACCAUCUUUAAAAUCUUUCCUACUACAGGAUCUCUGUGGAUUAUAUUAAAUUUAUCAGUGAAAUUCUUUUCAAUUUGUCCCAUUUAUAUUCACUCCUCAGUAAAGGUCUCUCCA